GAUGAACGCUGGCGGCGUGCCUAAUACAUGCAAGUCGAGCGAACGGACGAGAAGCUUGCUUCUCUGAUGUUAGCGGCGGACGGGUGAGUAACACGUGGAUAACCUACCUAUAAGACUGGGAUAACUUCGGGAAACCGGAGCUAAUACCGGAUAAUAUUUUGAACCGCAUGGUUCAAAAGUGAAAGACGGUCUUGCUGUCACUUAUAGAUGGAUCCGCGCUGCAUUAGCUAGUUGGUAAGGUAACGGCUUACCAAGGCAACGAUGCAUAGCCGACCUGAGAGGGUGAUCGGCCACACUGGAACUGAGACACGGUCCAGACUCCUACGGGAGGCAGCAGUAGGGAAUCUUCCGCAAUGGGCGAAAGCCUGACGGAGCAACACCGCGUGAGUGAUCAAGGUCUUCGGAUCGUAAAACUCUGUUAUUAGGGAAGAACAUAUGUGUAAGUAACUGUGCACAUCUUGACGGUACCUAAUCAGAAAGCCACGGCUAACUACGUG
This 497-nucleotide ribosomal RNA is filed under the name uncultured bacterium. RNAcentral describes it as "partial 16S ribosomal RNA". It matches the Rfam family "Bacterial small subunit ribosomal RNA", at positions 28 to 507 of the family's 1533-position model. The record is from RNAcentral.